AACGUCGGCGAGUUUGAUCCUGGCUCAGGACGAACGCUGGCGGCGCGCUUAAUGCAUGCAAGUCGAACGAUUCUCUUGGCUUCGGCCCUGAGAAGAGUGGCAGACGGCUGAGUAACACGUGAGUAACCUGCCCUGGUAUGGGGAACAACCCGGGGAAACUCGGGCUAAUACCGCAUACGUCCGGUGGCCAUAAGGCUGCCGGGGAAAGGCCUUCGGGUCGUACCAGGAGGGGCUCGCGACCUAUCAGGUAGUUGGCGGGGUAAAGGCCCACCAAGCCUCAGACGGGUAGCCGGUGUGAGAGCAUGACCGGCCAGACGGGGACUGAGACACGGCCCCGACUCCUACGGGAGGCAGCAGCAGGGAAUCUUGCGCAAUGGGCGAAAGCCUGACGCAGCGACGCCGCGUGGGGGAUGAAGGCCUGAGGGUCGUAAACCCCUUUUGUCGGGGAAGAGGAAGGACGGUACCCGGCGAAUAAGCCCCGGCUAACUACGUGCCAGCAGCCGCGGUAAUACGUAGGGGGCAAGCGUUGUCCGGAUUUACUGGGCGUAAAGAGCGCGUAGGCGGCCGAGUUUGUCUGCCGUGAAAUCUCCCUGCUCAACGGGGAGGGGCCGGUGGAGUACGGCUCGGCUUGAGGACAGUAGAGGCGAGUGGAAUUCCCGGAGGAGCGGUGAAAUGCGUAGAGUUCGGGAGGAACACCAGAGGCGAAAGCGGCUCGCUGGGCUGGUCCUGACGCUGAGGCGCGAAAGCGUGGGUAGCAAACCGGAUUAGAUACCCGGGUAGUCCACGCCCUAAACGAUGCGCACUGGAUCUGGGGGGUAUCGACCCCCCCCGGGUCGGAGCUUACGCGUUAAGUGCGCCGCCUGGGAAGUACGGCCGCAAGGCUAAAACUCAAAGGAAUUGACGGGGGCCCGCACAAGCAGCGGAGCGUGUGGUUUAAUUCGAU
This 943-nucleotide ribosomal RNA is filed under the name Chloroflexota bacterium. RNAcentral describes it as "bacterial SSU rRNA". It matches the Rfam family "Bacterial small subunit ribosomal RNA", at positions 1 to 955 of the family's 1533-position model. The record is from RNAcentral. Lineage: Bacteria; Bacillati; Chloroflexota.